This 433-nucleotide ribosomal RNA is filed under the name uncultured bacterium. RNAcentral describes it as "partial 16S ribosomal RNA". It matches the Rfam family "Bacterial small subunit ribosomal RNA", at positions 29 to 507 of the family's 1533-position model. The record is from RNAcentral.
AACGAACGCUGGCGGCAUGCCUAACACAUGCAAGUCGAACGAGACCUUCGGGUCUUGGGGCGCACGGGUGCGUAACGCGAGGGAACCUGCCCGUAGGUUCGGAAUAACUCCCCGAAGGGGAUGCUAAUACCGGACAAUAGCUACGGACCAACGAUUUAUCGGCUUUGGAUGGGCCUGCGUUGGAUUAGCUAGUGGGUAGGGUAAAAGCCUACCAAGGCGACGAUCCAUAGCUGGUCUGAGAGGAUGACCAGCACCACUGGGAGUGAGACACGGCCCAGACGCCUGCGGGAGGCAGCAAUGGGGAAUAUUCGACACUGGGCGAAAGACUGAGCCUGCCGUGCCGCGUGAGUGAUGAAGGCGUUAGGAUUGUAAAGCUCUUUUAACAGGGAUGAUAGUGACAGUACCGGGAGAAUAAGAUCCGGCUAACUCCGUG